Molecule: ribosomal RNA, 509 nt
Filed under: uncultured bacterium
Lineage: Bacteria
Description: bacterial SSU rRNA
Rfam family: Bacterial small subunit ribosomal RNA
Source: RNAcentral
AGAGUUUGAUCCUGGCUCAGGAUGAACGCUGGCGGCGUGCUUAACACAUGCAAGUCGAACGGAGUUUUUAACGGAAGUUUCGGAUGGAAGUUUAAGAACUUAGUGGCGGACGGGUGAGUAACGCGUGGGUAACCUGCCUCAUACAGGGGGAUAACAGUUAGAAAUGACUGCUAACACCGCAUAAUAUAGCGAAACCGCAUGAUUUUUGCUAUCAAAUAUUUAUAGGUAUGAGAUGGGCCCGCGUCUGAUUAGCUAGUUGGUGGGGUAAAAGCCUACCAAGGCGACGAUCAGUAGCCGGCUUGAGAGAGUGACCGGCCACAUUGGGACUGAGACACGGCCCAAACUCCUACGGGAGGCAGCAGUGGGGAAUAUUGGACAAUGGGGGAAACCCUGAUCCAGCCGACGCCGCGUGAGUGAAGAAGUAUUUCGGUAUGUAAAGCUCUAUCAGCAGGGAAGAUAAUGACAGUACCUGACUAAGAAGCCCCGGCUAACUACGUGCCAGCCGCCGC